AUGUACUUACAUCAGCUCGUCAGAGCUGUUCGUGUACUUGUAACACAAUCAACUCAGAUUUUGAGAUACUAUAAGUUCAGAGAAAAAAAAGGAGGCCGUUCACCCUUACAACCUCAAGUCGUUGACCUCCGCCGAACGAGGCCGUGCGACGACGCAACGAUCAGGCCAUCCACCUCUGCCACAGGAGGCCGUUCGAUGAUGCAGCGCUCAGGACGUUGUGUUUUUUUCAGUACAUGUUUUGUGUGUUUUCAAGUUCACCUACUUAACGAUAUUAUGUCCAAUUUCCCCUUUGUUUACAUGUUGUUCCUAUAG
This 312-nucleotide ribosomal RNA is filed under the name Triticum aestivum (bread wheat). RNAcentral describes it as "partial small subunit ribosomal RNA". The record is from RNAcentral. Lineage: Eukaryota; Viridiplantae; Streptophyta; Magnoliopsida; Poales; Poaceae.